Molecule: ribosomal RNA, 497 nt
Filed under: uncultured bacterium
Lineage: Bacteria
Description: partial 16S ribosomal RNA
Rfam family: Bacterial small subunit ribosomal RNA
Source: RNAcentral
GAUGAACGCUGGCGGCGUGCCUAAUACAUGCAAGUCGAGCGAACGGACGAGAAGCUUGCUUCUCUGAUGUUAGCGGCGGACGGGUGAGUAACACGUGGAUAACCUACCUAUAAGACUGGGAUAACUUCGGGAAACCGGAGCUAAUACCGGAUGAUAUUUUGAACCGCAUGGUUCAAAAGUGAAAGACGGUCUUGCUGUCACUUAUAGAUGGAUCCGCGCUGCAUUAGCUAGUUGGUAAGGUAACGGCUUACCAAGGCAACGAUGCAUAGCCGACCUGAGAGGGUGAUCGGCCACACUGGAACUGAGACACGGUCCAGACUCCUACGGGAGGCAGCAGUAGGGAAUCUUGCGCAAUGGGCGAAAGCCUGACGGAGCAACGCCGCGUGAGUGAUGAAGGUCUUCGGAUCGUAAAACUCUGUUAUUAGGGAAGAACAUAUGUGUAAGUAACUGUGCACAGCUUGACGGUACCUAAUCAGAAAGCCACGGCUAACUACGUG